This is a non-coding RNA of Pelobates cultripes (western spadefoot toad), 204 nucleotides long. The record is from the annotation of a GenBank genome assembly. NCBI's taxonomy places the organism in Eukaryota, Metazoa, Chordata, Amphibia, Anura, Pelobatidae.
AUUCCGAAGCGCUGUACAAUGGAUAAGACAAACAUUUAACAAAACAUGUAUGGCAUAUUGGAACAGUAGACAAAGAGGACUCUGAACAAAUGAGCUCACAAUCUAAAGACUGUCUAUAUUAGAUAACCAAUAUCGCUGCAAUUGUAUUUACGUUUUUUUUAUUUAUAUAAAUUUCAGGACAAAAACAAUUGCUACUUGACUACU